Molecule: ribosomal RNA, 614 nt
Filed under: uncultured bacterium
Lineage: Bacteria
Description: bacterial SSU rRNA
Rfam family: Bacterial small subunit ribosomal RNA
Source: RNAcentral
UCCGCAUGGUAGAACUAUUAAAGAAUUUCGGUCAUCGAUGGGGAUGCGUUCCAUUAGGUUGUUGGCGGGGUAACGGCCCACCAAGCCUUCGAUGGAUAGGGGUUCUGAGAGGAAGGUCCCCCACAUUGGAACUGAGACACGGUCCAAACUCCUACGGGAGGCAGCAGUGAGGAAUAUUGGUCAAUGGACGAGAGUCUGAACCAGCCAAGUAGCGUGAAGGAUGACUGCCCUAUGGGUUGUAAACUUCUUUUAUACGGGAAUAAAGUGAGGCACGUGUGCCUUUUUGUAUGUACCGUAUGAAUAAGGAUCGGCUAACUCCGUGCCAGCAGCCGCGGUAAUACGGAGGAUCCGAGCGUUAUCCGGAUUUAUUGGGUUUAAAGGGAGCGUAGGCGGACGCUUAAGUCAGUUGUGAAAGUUUGCGGCUCAACCGUAAAAUUGCAGUUGAUACUGGGUGUCUUGAGUACAGUAGAGGCAGGCGGAAUUCGUGGUGUAGCGGUGAAAUGCUUAGAUAUCACGAAGAACUCCGAUUGCGAAGGCAGCUUGCUGGACUGUAACUGACGCUGAUGCUCGAAAGUGUGGGUAUCAAACAGGAUUAGAUACCCUGGUAGUCCACA